RNAcentral lists this ribosomal RNA (495 nucleotides) under uncultured bacterium. RNAcentral's name for it is "partial 16S ribosomal RNA". It matches the Rfam family "Bacterial small subunit ribosomal RNA", at positions 28 to 507 of the family's 1533-position model. The record is from RNAcentral.
GAUGAACGCUGGCGGCGUGCCUAAUACAUGCAAGUAGAACGCUGAAGGAGGAGCUUGCUCUUCUGGAUGAGUUGCGAACGGGUGAGUAACGCGUAGGUAACCUGCCUGGUAGCGGGGGAUAACUAUUGGAAACGAUAGCUAAUACCGCAUGACAACAGUUAUUGCAUGAUAACUGUUUAAAAGGGGCAACUGCUCCACUACCAGAUGGACCUGCGUUGUUUUAGCUAGUUGGUGAGGUAACGGCUCACCAAGGUGACGAUACAUAGCCGACCUGAGAGGGUGAUCGGCCACCCUGGGACUGAGACACGGCCCAGACUCCUACGGGAGGCAGCAGUAGGGAAUCUUCGGCAAUGGACGGAAGUCUGACCGAGCAACGCCGCGUGAGUGAAGAAGGUUUUCGGAUCGUAAAGCUCUGUUGUAAGAGAAGAACGAGUGUGAGAGUGGAAAGCUCACACUGUGACGGUAUCUUACCAGAAAGGGACGGCUAACUACGUG